AGAUAGAGCGUUCCCCUUCGGGGCACCGAGUGACAGGUGCCGCAUGGUUGUCGUCAGCUCGUGUCGUGAGAUGUUGGGUUAAGUCCCGCAACGAGCGCAACCCUUGAUCUUAGUUGCCAGCAUUUAGUUGGGCACUCUAAGGUGACUGCCGGUGACAAACCGGAGGAAGGUGGGGAUGACGUCAAAUCAUCAUGCCCCUUAUGACCUGGGCUACACACGUGCUACAAUGGAUGGUACAAAGGGCUGCAAGACCGCGAGGUCAAGCCAAUCCCAUAAAACCAUUCUCAGUUCGGAUUGUAGGCUGCAACUCGCCUACAUGAAGCUGGAAUCGCUAGUAAUCGCGGAUCAGCAUGCCGCGGUGAAUACGUUCCCGGGCCUUGUACACACCGCCCGUCACACCACGAGAGUUUGUAACACCCGAAGUCGGUGGAGUAACCGUAAGGAGCUAGCCGCCU
This 455-nucleotide ribosomal RNA is filed under the name Bacillus sp. enrichment culture clone MNSS-AH-4. RNAcentral's name for it is "bacterial SSU rRNA". It matches the Rfam family "Bacterial small subunit ribosomal RNA", at positions 1004 to 1458 of the family's 1533-position model. The record is from RNAcentral. Lineage: Bacteria; Bacillati; Bacillota; Bacilli; Caryophanales; Bacillaceae.